RNAcentral lists this ribosomal RNA (433 nucleotides) under uncultured bacterium. RNAcentral's name for it is "partial 16S ribosomal RNA". It matches the Rfam family "Bacterial small subunit ribosomal RNA", at positions 29 to 507 of the family's 1533-position model. The record is from RNAcentral.
AACGAACGCUGGCGGCAGGCCUAACACAUGCAAGUCGAGCGAGGACUUCGGUUCUAGCGGCGGACGGGCGAGUAACGCGUGGGAAUGUGCCCUUCUCUACGGAAUAGCCCUGGGAAACUGGGAGUAAUACCGUAUACGCCCUAUUGGGGAAAGAUUUAUCGGAGAAGGAUCAGCCCGCGUUGGAUUAGGUAGUUGGUGGGGUAAUGGCCUACCAAGCCGACGAUCCAUAGCUGGUUUGAGAGGAUGAUCAGCCACACUGGGACUGAGGCACGGCCCAGACUCCUACGGGAGGCAGCAGUGGGGAAUCUUAGACAAUGGGGGCAACCCUGGUCUAGCCAUGCCGGGUGAGUGAUGAAGGCCUUAGGAUUGUAAAGCUCGUUCAGCUGGGAAGAUAAUGACGGUACCAGCAGAAGAAGCCCCGGCUAACUCCGUG